Pelobates cultripes (western spadefoot toad) is the source of this 363-nucleotide non-coding RNA. The record is from the annotation of a GenBank genome assembly. NCBI's taxonomy places the organism in Eukaryota, Metazoa, Chordata, Amphibia, Anura, Pelobatidae.
CUCAUAGUAACUCAUACAUAGAGCAUAUAGUGGGUACAUAUACUGAGGCUGUGUCCUCAUAGUAACUCAUACAUAGAGCAUAUAGUGGGUACAUAUACUGAGGCUGUGUCCUCAUAGUAACUCAUACAUAGAGCAUAUAGUGGGUACAUAUACUGAGGCUGUGUCCUCAUAGUAACUCAUACACAGAGCAUAUAGUGGGUACAUAUACUGAGGCUGUGUCCUCAUAGUAACUCAUACAUAGAGCAUAUAGUGGGUACAUAUACUGAGGCUGUGUCCUCAUAGUAACUCAUACACAGAGCAUAUAGUGGGUACAUAUACUGAGGCAGUGUCCUCAUAGUAACUCAUACAUAGAGCAUAUAGUGG